AUUGAACGCUGGCGGCAGGCCUAACACAUGCAAGUCGAGCGGAUGAAGGGAGCUUGCUCCUGGAUUCAGCGGCGGACGGGUGAGUAAUGCCUAGGAAUCUGCCUGGUAGUGGGGGAUAACGUCCGGAAACGGGCGCUAAUACCGCAUACGUCCUGAGGGAGAAAGUGGGGGAUCUUCGGACCUCACGCUAUCAGAUGAGCCUAGGUCGGAUUAGCUAGUUGGUGGGGUAAAGGCCUACCAAGGCGACGAUCCGUAACUGGUCUGAGAGGAUGAUCAGUCACACUGGAAAUGAGAAACGGUCCAGACUCCUACGGGAGGCAGCAGUGGGGAAUAUUGGACAACGGGCGAAAGCCUGAUCCAGCCAUGCCGCGUGUGUGAAGAAGGUCUUCGGAUUGUAAAGCACUUUAAGUUGGGAGGAAGGGCAGUAAGUUAAUACCUUGCUGUUUUGACGUUACCAACAGAAUAAGCACCGGCUAACUUCGUG
RNAcentral lists this ribosomal RNA (484 nucleotides) under uncultured bacterium. Its description in RNAcentral is "partial 16S ribosomal RNA". It matches the Rfam family "Bacterial small subunit ribosomal RNA", at positions 30 to 507 of the family's 1533-position model. The record is from RNAcentral.